UCUCUCGAAAAAUGUAAAGAG
RNAcentral lists this non-coding RNA (21 nucleotides) under Caenorhabditis elegans. Lineage: Eukaryota; Metazoa; Nematoda; Chromadorea; Rhabditida; Rhabditidae. The record is from RNAcentral.